Molecule: ribosomal RNA, 363 nt
Filed under: Triticum aestivum (bread wheat)
Lineage: Eukaryota; Viridiplantae; Streptophyta; Magnoliopsida; Poales; Poaceae
Description: partial small subunit ribosomal RNA
Source: RNAcentral
AUGCACCUCCAUCUCCAUCUCCAUCACCCAUCCAUCCAUCCAUCCAUGGCGGUCUCCAAGCCUCUCCUCCUCGCCGGCGUCGUCCUCCUUGUUGUCGCCCUGCUCGUGGCCGUGGACGCUGAUGGUUCCUCCUCGGCGGCGGGCGUUGGCGGCGGGAGGACGCUGCUGGCCAUAGACUGCCCCAAGGCGUGCGAGGCGCGGUGCGGGAAAAACUGGAAGAACGAGAUGUGCAACAAGAUGUGCAACAUCUGCUGCGGCAAGUGCAGCUGCGUCCCCUCCGGCACCGGCCAGGACACCCGCAACGAGUGCCCCUGCUACGCCAACAUGAAGAACACCAAGAACGGCAAACCCAAAUGCCCCUAA